Molecule: transfer RNA, 68 nt
Filed under: Lissachatina fulica (giant African snail)
Lineage: Eukaryota; Metazoa; Mollusca; Gastropoda; Stylommatophora; Achatinidae
Description: tRNA-Met
Source: RNAcentral
CUUAGGGUAAGCUAAGUUCAUAAGCUAUUGGGCUCAUAACCCGAAUAUGGACCAACAUCCCCUUAAGG